GGUAACGAGGAGCUAAGUUCAAAAUCAGGUGUUGGCUGGCUCGGGAGGCAGAGGGUAGGCAAGAAGAUGGCCCCGAAGGUUGCAAAUGGAAACAAAACAAGUCUGAACUCCAGCCACGUGC
Long non-coding RNA from Herpailurus yagouaroundi (jaguarundi), 121 nucleotides. RefSeq lists it as uncharacterized. The transcript is spliced from 4 exons. NCBI's taxonomy places the organism in Eukaryota, Metazoa, Chordata, Mammalia, Carnivora, Felidae. The record is from RefSeq and is a predicted model, not a curated record.